RNAcentral lists this ribosomal RNA (208 nucleotides) under uncultured bacterium. Its description in RNAcentral is "partial 16S ribosomal RNA". It matches the Rfam family "Bacterial small subunit ribosomal RNA", at positions 567 to 773 of the family's 1533-position model. The record is from RNAcentral.
UUGCGUAGGUGGACAAAUAAGUGAAUAGUGAAAGCUGAUGGCUCAACCAUUCAGAUUAUUAUUCAAACUGUUUGUCUCGAGAGUAGCAGAGGUAACUGGAAUUUCUUGUGUAGGAGUGAAAUCCGUAGAUAUAAGAAGGAACACCAAUGGCGUAGGCAGGUUACUGGGCUAUUUCUGACACUAAGGCACGAAAGCGUGGGAGGCAACG